CAGUGCCCAGCGGGAGCGUCGGCGAACCCGGCGUCUUCCCGCGACUGGCCACCCGUGUCUACCUUACCUUCUGUUGCUUCGGCGGGCCCGUCCCCCACUAACCAUGGGGGGCCGCCGGGGGAGGCGUACCCACGCGCCCCUGGCCCGCGCCCGCCGAGGGACCCCUCGAACUCCUGUGAAGUUUUUGUUGUCUGAGUGCAUCUUUUAAUGAUACA
This 215-nucleotide unclassified non-coding RNA is filed under the name uncultured Ascomycota. RNAcentral's name for it is "sequence contains ITS1". The record is from RNAcentral. Lineage: Eukaryota; Fungi; Ascomycota.